Drosophila melanogaster (fruit fly) is the source of this 140-nucleotide small nucleolar RNA. The record is from Ensembl. Lineage: Eukaryota; Metazoa; Arthropoda; Insecta; Diptera; Drosophilidae.
UAGGAGGCAAAGUGGCAUAUUUGGGAAUAUACCUUCCCAAUUGUGUCUCAAAUACUCCAAAAACAACUAUGUAAUAGGGACGAACGGCAUCCUGAAUAGUGCAUCAUACUAUAGCAGAUGACUUGUGUUCGUGCACAUGU